RNAcentral lists this ribosomal RNA (253 nucleotides) under uncultured bacterium. RNAcentral describes it as "partial 16S ribosomal RNA". It matches the Rfam family "Bacterial small subunit ribosomal RNA", at positions 524 to 776 of the family's 1533-position model. The record is from RNAcentral.
UACGUAGGUGGCAAGCGUUGUCCGGAUUUACUGGGCGUAAAGAGCGCGCAGGCGGCUGGUCAAGUCCGAUGUGAAAUCUCCCGGCUCAACCUCGAGACGUCGACGGAAACCGUCUGGCUAGAGUCCGGAAGAGGAGUGUGGAAUUCCUGGUGUAGCGGUGAAAUGCGCAGAUAUCAGGAGGAACACCGGUGGCGAAGGCGGCAUCCUGGACCGGCAUUGACGCUGAGGCGCGAAAGCUAGGGGAGCAAACGGG